Heterocephalus glaber (naked mole-rat) is the source of this 2126-nucleotide long non-coding RNA. The record is from Ensembl. NCBI's taxonomy places the organism in Eukaryota, Metazoa, Chordata, Mammalia, Rodentia, Bathyergidae.
GUGGGACCGGAACUUCCGGGGCUGCUCCCUUAGCGUCUGGGGUUGGGCGGGAGAUACAGAGGGCAUCGGGCCGCUGGCAGCCACCGAAAUAGGCCUAAGGGAUUGUGAAGAGGCGCGGGGCCAGCGGACAAGCCUGCAGUGCCCCCCGGCUUUGCGCGGGUUUUCUGGAUUGUGUAAGCAAUGAAUGAAACUGUCUUCGUAAAGCACGUUUUUUCACUCUUUUCCCCCAGGGUUCCUCCAGAAAAUGAGAACUAUCCAUUCCACGGCAAUUGGAUGAUUGAUUCCUCCUGAUGAGUUUUCCAGGUGACCCCAGUUUGAGUGACCCAGGUAUGUCCGGCACGGAGUCAGUGCCCCAGGGUGGAGGGACGGUCUGGGGAAAGGCUCCUGUGUGGUCGAACCCGCCCCGGGGUGGGUGCAACCUCGUACCAGGCAGCCCCACCUUGACCUAGAGUAAAUUCCCAAGGGAAGCCUUCCCUGGGUUUUGAAUUUGCAGUAACAGGUGUGAACAUUCUAGCAGCAGUUUGAUGAUCAUGUAUGAUACUGCAAACAGGACCUACCCAGCGAGGAGAAAAACAUUUUGUUUGUUGGUUUGUUUUUGUGGUACUGGCGACCGAACUCAGAACCUUGCACUUACUAAGCAGGCACUGCGCCACUGAGCUACAUCCCCAGCCCGAGAAAAACAUUUUGAACCGGAGACCAAGUAGUUUUCAAAAUCCUGUAAACCGUAUUGAUGUCAUUUGUUUCCUUUAAACGUUUAUUGAUAUUUUUGGUCAGGCACCAUACCAAGUAUGAGGGAUAUAGGGACGAGUAAAACAGUCACAGCUCUUGUUCUCAGGUAGCAAUAGCCCAGCUGGGGAAACAGGGUUAAAUGAUCACACGUAAGAGGGUGUAAUUCAAGCCAAGCUGAAUGCUCUGAAGGAAAGCACUGCCCUCUAGGGAUCUAUGUUGCAAAGAGCCUGGUGGAAACUGGAAAGCUUUCCUUAGGAGGAGACUUGAGCUGGACUCUGUUGGAUGAGUAGGAGUUGGCUGGCAAAACGGGACAGUGUGUGCGAGGGCCCUGUGGCCUUGCAAGUGUGGCUGGUGGAGGAACUGAAGGAAACCACUAGCUCAGAAGGCAAGCUGGAGAACAGUGUAGAACAAAGCCCAAAAGAUGGGGAAGGGCCAGACUGCACAGGGCCUGUGGCUCAUGUGAGGAUUUUGGGUUUUUGUCCUAAAAACUGUGAGAUACCACUGCAGGUUUUAAGUAAAAAGAAGAUAUGUGUAACUCUGAUUUCAAAAGACUGCUGUGUAAGAACAAAAGUGCUGUCCAACAGAACUCCCAGUACUGGUGGAAAUGGGCUGUCUGGGCUGUUUAGAGCAGCCACAGUGACUGAGCAUUUGAAGUGUAGCUGGUGUGGCUGAUGUGCCGAGUUUUUAAAUUUUAACUCAAAUGUUAAUACCCAAACAUGACUGGUGGCCUCUGGGUGGGACAGUACAGGUCUGCACGUGUUGGAAGGAGUGGUGACCUUUGGUAGUGACAGAGACAGCGUCCAGUUCCCAGAGAACCUCAUAACAAUUUCUCCUUGGAAACAGUGGAAUUUUUAACGUUUAUUUUCUUGGCUGUAGUACAACCUGCUUCUCCAUGAAGCAGCAUCCUUCCUUCUCCUGGCUGUUCAUUUGGUUGUCAGCACCCAGAUCGAGAUGUCCCUAUCCACAGCAAAUUUAAGUACUUAAAGUGGCCACAUUCUCUGUCAGACACCUUGGGAGGAAUGUAAAGAAAAGUACAGUCCUCCCUGGGGAUGUAUCUCAGUGGUACAACCUGUGGUCAGCAUAGGCAAAGCCCUGGGUUCAAUCUCCGGCACCAAAAAAGAAAAGUAUGUCCAGUCCAGGCUCACGUCAAACUCAUCAUGUGGCCCAGGCUGGCCUCAGACCCACAGUGAUCCUCUCGUGUCAGCCUCCCAAGUGCUGAGAUGACAGUGUGCACCACCAUGCCUGGCUUGGUUUCAUUCUUCACCAUGUGCUCUGUGAGACGGAUAUAAAUAAAUGGAGUCCAAACCCAAAGAGUCGUUGUGCACUCUGUGAUUUCUAAGCCCAGUGGUUCUGUGUGUGUGUGGCCUCCACUGCUGAGAUACACACUCAGUAGCACU